UACGUAGGUGGCAAGCGUUGUCCGGAUUUACUGGGCGUAAAGAGCGCGCAGGCGGUCGUUCAAGUCGCGUGUGAAAGCCCCCGGCUCAACUGGGGAGGGUCACGCGAUACUGAUCGACUCGAAGGCAGGAGAGGGAAGUGGAAUUCCCGGUGUAGUGGUGAAAUGCGUAGAUAUCGGGAGGAACACCAGUGGCGAAGGCGGGUCUCUGGGCCGAUACUGACGCUGAGGAGCGAAAGCGUGGGGAGCGAACAGG
This 253-nucleotide ribosomal RNA is filed under the name uncultured bacterium. Its description in RNAcentral is "partial 16S ribosomal RNA". It matches the Rfam family "Bacterial small subunit ribosomal RNA", at positions 524 to 776 of the family's 1533-position model. The record is from RNAcentral.